Molecule: ribosomal RNA, 372 nt
Filed under: uncultured organism
Description: bacterial SSU rRNA
Rfam family: Bacterial small subunit ribosomal RNA
Source: RNAcentral
CAGAGGGGGCAAGCGUUAUUCGGAAUUAUUGGGCGUAAAGGGCGCGUAGGCGGCUUGGCAAGUGGAAGGUGAAAUCCCUCGGCUUAACCGAGGAACUGCCCUCCAAACUGCUUUGCUUGAGGCCGGGAGAGGUGAGUGGAAUUCCCAGUGUAGCGGUGAAAUGCGUAGAUAUUGGGAGGAACACCAGUGGCGAAGGCGGCUCACUGGACCGGUUCUGACGCUGAUGCGCGAAAGCGUGGGGAGCAAACGGGAUUAGAUACCCCGGUAGUCCACGCCGUAAACGAUGAGUGCUUGGUGUAGCGGGUAUCGACCCCUGCUGUGCCGAAGUCAACACAUUAAGCACUCCGCCUGGGGAGUACGGUCGCAAGGCUG